This is a long non-coding RNA of Tupaia belangeri chinensis (Chinese tree shrew), 208 nucleotides long. RefSeq lists it as uncharacterized. The record is from RefSeq and is a predicted model, not a curated record. The transcript has 3 exons. NCBI's taxonomy places the organism in Eukaryota, Metazoa, Chordata, Mammalia, Scandentia, Tupaiidae.
CGGAGUUAGCCAGCGCGGUGGCGGCCGAGGCUGGCAGGGGUGGACUCCAGGGCCGGGCUGCGCCCACUUCCCACAGCUGUGAAUUUCUUUGGAUAAUUGAUGAUAUUUAUCAUUGUACCUGGCUUUUACAAAUAAAAGAUGGGUGGAUUAUUUUCUCGAUGGAGGACGAAACCUUCAACUGUUGAAGUUCUAGAAAGUAUUGAUAAGG